UACGUAGGAGGCGAGCGCUGUCCGGAGUUACUGGGCGUAAAGCGCACGCAGGCGGUCCUAUUAGUCUGGGGUGACAGUUCCCGGCUUAACCGGAAAAGGACUCUGGAAACUGUAGGACUUGAGGGCUUCAGAGGGAUGUGGAAUUCCAGGUGGAGUGGUGAAAUGCGUAGAGAUCUGGAAGAACACCAAAGGCGAAGGCAGCAUCCUGGGAAGUUCCUGACGCUCGGGUGCGAAAGCCAGGGGAGCGAACGGG
Molecule: ribosomal RNA, 253 nt
Filed under: uncultured bacterium
Lineage: Bacteria
Description: partial 16S ribosomal RNA
Rfam family: Bacterial small subunit ribosomal RNA
Source: RNAcentral